RNAcentral lists this ribosomal RNA (279 nucleotides) under uncultured bacterium. RNAcentral describes it as "partial 16S ribosomal RNA". It matches the Rfam family "Bacterial small subunit ribosomal RNA", at positions 506 to 784 of the family's 1533-position model. The record is from RNAcentral.
UGCCAGCCGCCGCGGUAAUACGGAGGGUCCGAGCGUUAUCCGGAAUCAUUGGGUUUAAAGGGUCCGUAGGUGGACAGAUAAGUCAGAGGUGAAAUCCUGCAGCUCAACUGUAGAAUUGCCUUUGAUACUGUUUGUCUUGAGUCAUUAUGAAGUGGUUGGAAUGUGUGGUGUAGCGGUGAAAUGCAUAGAUAUCACACAGAACACCGAUUGCGAAGGCAGAUCACUAAUAAUGUACUGACACUGAGGGACGAAAGCGUGGGGAGCGAACAGGAUUAGAUA